AACGAACGCUGGCGGCAUGCCUAACACAUGCAAGUCGAACGAGACCUUCGGGUCUAGUGGCGCACGGGUGCGUAACGCGUGGGAACCUGCCCUUAGGUUCGGAAUAACUCACAGAAAUUUGAGCUAAUACCGGAUAAUGUCUUCGGACCAAAGAUUUAUCGCCUUUGGAUGGGCCCGCGUUGGAUUAGCUGGUUGGUGGGGUAAUAGCCUACCAAGGCGACGAUCCUUAGCUGGUCUGAGAGGAUGAUCAGCCACACUGGGACUGAGACACGGCCCAGACUCCUACGGGAGGCAGCAGUGGGGAAUAUUGGACAAUGGGCGAAAGCCUGAUCCAGCAAUGCCGCGUGAGUGAUGAAGGCCUUAGGGUUGUAAAGCUCUUUUACCAGGGAUGAUAAUGACAGUACCUGGAGAAUAAGCUCCGGCUAACUCCGUG
RNAcentral lists this ribosomal RNA (433 nucleotides) under uncultured bacterium. RNAcentral describes it as "partial 16S ribosomal RNA". It matches the Rfam family "Bacterial small subunit ribosomal RNA", at positions 29 to 507 of the family's 1533-position model. The record is from RNAcentral.